UUUUUCUAACUUACUGUUAUACAUGUUUUCAAACAGCACUAUUUUCUUAAUUACUAUUCAUAUUGCCAAACAAUCUCAAUGUGUACUUCAACUUUAAUAAUAUAGAUAUGUUUGUCUGCAAAAUUUUAACAGUUUAAAAAAAAAUUAACAGUUUUAAUUUUAAUUAUAAAUCUGUUUUUACGUUGAAAUAUUAAUAAAUUAAUGGUGAGAGACAUAAUAGGAAAAACUUAUCACUAAUGAUGCUCUGAAUUUAUUUUUGUUGAUCAGUUACGAAGAAAAGGAGAAAACCAAUGAUGUAAAGACAAAUGGCAGAAGAUGAGUUCAGUUCGUCAUGUUAAACAAUAUAAAUUUCCAGAGAGAGAUUCAACCAAGAAAACAGUUAACUAGGAUUUGUAUUUCUUUUUCUUUUCCAUGUUGUUUCACUGAGAAAAUAAAAAGAACAUACAAACCCACGUUAACUGUUUUCUUUCGGCCAAAAAAAGAAAAUAGUUAACGUGUGUCUGUAACUUCUUUUUCUUUUCUCUGUUGUUUCACUAAGAUUUUUCUGAGAAUUUUUCUUCACCAAUGUCUUACAGCAAAUUUAAGGGGUAAUAUCUUCAAAUAGGUAUUUCAAAUACAAAAUAAUAUUAUCUUAAUACAUUUGUAGAAUAUAAUUUUUUACUUUAUUUAAAAGGAUGAAUUUAAUUAUAUGUUGACAUAUGACUCAAAAUUUUUAGAAAAUAUCUCAAAAGUUCUUCUUUGAUAUAUUCUACAAAAAAAAUCAUUCUCUUUUAUAUACCUUUUCAUUUUUAUUAUUUAUUUUUAGAUAUUCUAUUGAAAAUUUUAUCACUAGAAUUAUUAAAUUUAUAAAAAAUAGCAACAAUUUUUAUAAUAAAAUUUUAAUUAACAUAAAUUUAUAAUAAUAUUAUUUACUAAUUAAUAAAUUAAUUAAUGCAUUAUUUAAUAAUAAAAAAUCCAACAUUUUAGUUUGAUAUUGUUAAAUGUUUUCUCAACAAAUUUUUUUAUAACUAAAAAUAAAGUUCAAAUUUAUAGUUAAAAUUUAUUUAUUGUUAAUAUUUUUAUUGAUUAUAAAGAUUUUAUAGAAACAUUAUAUGUGUAAUUAAUUAAUAUAAAUAAUCAAAUAUGUCAUAUUAAGAGAUAAAAAAAAUUUUGUAACAAUUAAGAGAUUAAUUAAAUGAUCGUAUUAACCGUAGAUAAAAAUGUAACUCUAUUUUAAUAGAAUGUAUAAACUCUAAUAUAAUAUAUGGAUUAUAACAAAAAAAUUUACAAAAAAAAUUAGCAAUAGUUUUUUAUAUAAUAAAAUUUUAAUUAACAUAAAUUUAUAAUAAUAAUAAUAUAUUAUUAGUUACAAAAUUAAUUAAUAUAUUAUCUUGUUGCAAAUAUAUUUAAAAUUUUAGUAGGAUUUUAGCAGAUUUUCUCCGCAAAUUUUGUUAUAACUAAAAUAAAGUUAAAAUUUAUUUAUUUAUUUUUAGUAUUUUAUUGAUUAUUGAAAUUUUCUAUAAAUAUUAAAUAUUAAAUAUUUUAUUAAUUAGUGUAAAUACUUAAAUAUGUCAUAUUAAGUAAUUAAUAGAUAAAAUAAUAAUUAUUCUAUUUAAUAUAAUGUAGAUUCUGAAACGUUUCUUUAACUUUAUUAUGAGCUCUGUUGACCAACUUCACAGUUAAAAUUUAUGUUAAUGGAAAACUCAUUACAUGAUACAAAUUACUUGCAUAGUAUGAAAUAACUUUAAGAUAUAUAUAUAUAUAUAUAUAUAUAUAUAUAACACCAUAAUAAUUUAUUUGUAACGACCGCAAAGACAUAAGGUAAAUAAAUAAUUAAAUUUGUGUAUUAUGUUGAAGCUUUUCUGUUGAAAAGACAACAUAUGCUCAUCUUAUACUAGACGUUGUUAAUUCUAAUUUUCCAUUUGGAUCUUUACCUUUUAAUUGGUUUUAUAUAAUUGAAGGAUUUACAGAAGAAGAAAAGUAGUUGUUGCAUAUUCUAAAUCAUAAGAAAUGACAACAAACAAGUUUUCAUCUCUUUUUUUAUUUUCAUUGAUGGUAUCUACGCUUAUCCUUUUACCAAUGGCUUCAGGUAAUUUUCUUUUUUUUUUUCAAAUUUAAAUUUUCUCAAAUAAAUAAAAUUUGUACUUGAGUAGCUAUUGUUGGAGAAAAAACUGUGUAGUAGUUAGUGUUCUACAUAAAAAAUUAAUUGAUCAUUUCAAUUUUUUUCUUUCCCAAUUAGGAAAAAUACGUAUAUGUCCGGAAAGGAGACCACCUUGUAAGGCCAGCCAAGCAUGUAUACAAAACUGUGAAAAUUUAGGGUACAGAACAGGAGGCUGUGAAUAUAAAUAUGAACAUACCCAUAUAUAUUGUUGUUGUAUAGACAAAUUGAAAUCUCAGGAUAAUCGUCAUUCACCUAAUGCAUUCCCAACUAAUUAACCUCUCAUUUAUAUGUGUAUUUAUAUGACUUAAAAUAUAUUUAUAUGUGACUGAUUUACAUUAUUAUUACAUUUGCCAUGGCUACAUUGUAAAACUACUUCUAUCAAGUCUCCAACACACGUAUUGACCAAAGAUCCCAAGUUCUAGUUUCUGGACUAAACAAUAUUUUAACUUUAAAAGACUCUAAUAUCCGAUCCAUGUUAGAAAAUAAAAUAUGACGUGAAAAAUCAGUUCACAUGAUUAUCAGCCCAGGCCCACCAUAAUCUAAAUCAUUAUGAUUGUAUUCUGUGAGCCUUAAAGGAUUCGCUAAACCCAAUCAACUAGAAACACAACGGUUGUGUUCCCGAUAUUUUCUUAUUCUUCCUUCCUCUUCCUCGUUUUCUCAGAAAAUCAGUAGGCGAAAUGGGUAAUACAGUGGCGACAAAUGCUUUCUAAGCUCUCCGAGCUUUUCUGAAUUUUGUCUUCUGAUUUUGAUUCCAGAGCAAAAGUCGAGCCUCCACUAAACUUCACAGGUAUGGACAGAAUCAGUGGACUGUCCGAUGAGUUACUGGUCAGGAUACUAACGUUUGUUCCGACAAAAGUCGCUGUCUCUACUAGCAUUUUGUCUAAACGAUGGGAGUCUCUCUGGACGUGGGUUCCUAAACUCGAGUUCGUGGAUAUCAAGUACGGAUCAGACACUGCUAUCAAGGAUUUCAUCAACAAGAAUCUGCCAUUACUCAAAUCUCCAGUCAUACAGAGCUUUCUCCUCCAAUGUCCUUCAACAUUUCCACUUGAGGAUAUCAAAUUUUUUAGAAAAUAUCUCAAAAGUUCUUCUUUGAUAUAUUCUACAAAAAAAUUCAUUUUCUUUUAUACUUUUUUUUUUUGAGAUAAUCUAUUGAAAACUUUACCACUAGAAUUAUUAAAUUUAUAAAAAUAGAAAUAUUUUUAAAAUAAAAUUUUAAUUAACAUAAAUUUAUAAUAAUAUUAUUUUACUAAUUAAGAAAAAAAUUAAUGCAUUAUUUAAUAAUAAAAAAAUCCAAACUUUUGUUGGAUAUUAGUUAAAAUAUCCAACUAAAUAAUAUUAGUUAAUUUUGUUAGAUAUUUUUUCAACAAAUUUUGUUAUAACUAAAAAUAAAGUUCAAAUUUAUAGUUAAAAUUUAUUUAUUGUUAAUAUUUAAGAUAUUAUAAAAAUGUUAUAUAUGUGGUUAAUUAAUGUAAAUAAUCAAAUAUGUCAUAUUAAGUGAGUAAUUAAAUGAUCGUAUUAUGACUUAUCAACAGUAGAUAAAAAUAUGACUCUAUUUUAAUAGAAUAUAGACUCAAAUAUAAUAUAUGAAUUAUAGUAAUAAAAUUUAUAAAAAAGAUAAGCAAGAGUUUUUUUAUAUAAUAAAAUUUUAAUUAACAUAAAUUUAUAAUAAUAAUAUAUUGUAGUUACGAAAUUAAUUAAUAUAUUAUUUUAUAACAAAGAUUUUUAAACUUUUGUAGGAUUUUGGUAGUUUUUCUCAACAAAUUUUGUUAUAACUAAAAUAAAGUUAAGAUUUAUUUAUUUUUAAUAUUUUAAUGAUUAUUAAGAUUUUCUAUAAAUAUUAUAUAUUUGAUUAAUUAGUGUAAAUAAUUAAAUAUGUCAUAUUAAGUAAUUAAUUAAAUGGUCCUAGUAUAAUUGUCAAUAAUAUAUAAAAAUAAUUACUCUAUUUUAAUAUAAUGUAGAUUCUGAAAUGUUUCUUCAACUUUAUUAUGAGUUCUGUUAACCAACUUCACAGUUAAAAUUUAUGUUAAUGGAAAACUCAUUACAUGAUACAAAUUACUUGCAUAGUGUGAAAUAACUUUAAGAUAUAUAUAUAUAUAUAUAUAUAUAUAUAUAUAUAUAUAUAUAUAUAUAUAUAUAUAAUUUUAUUUGUAACUACCGCAAAGACAUAAGGUAAAUAAAUAAUUAAAUUUGUGUAUUAUGUUGAAACUUUUCUGUUGAAAAGACAACAUAUGCUCAUCUUUUUUUUUUUUAACUGGCUUUCAUAUUAAAAGGAAACAGAGUACAUGAGAAGCUUAAAAAAACGUACUAAAAAAAAACAUAGUGAAAUUUAAAAAGAAACAUAGGGAGAGGGUCACAAUGACUUCGACAGCCAUGGAAGUGAAACAAAGAAAAUGCAGCAACAGGAGGCUACAUUAUCAGACUGAAGACCACAGAGCAACUAAACUUGAAGCAAAGUCUGACCCACAGCUACACAUAGCCAUCGACUUAUCCUUUGCCAGCUUGAUGACCUCUCUAGAUAACAUGAAAUGAGGUUUUGUAACCCCAUUAUGGUAUCGCGCAUUCCGCUCUUGCCAGAUGACAUAGAUUGAGCCAUGCCAUAAUUGAAGAAUCGCUGCUAGCUGGGCAGGAUUAGUACUGACAGAAGAUAACCAGUAAAGAACUAACUCCCACUGAAUAGGAGGAUUAAUGAAACCCAACACACCAAUAGCAUUCUCCCAGGCUCGAACAGAGUAUGGACAUAGAAAGAACAAAUGAUCUCUUGAUUCCGGGGAGUUUCCGCACAGAAGACAGCAGUUCUCCAAAUCUAUUCCCCAAGAUACCAAGCGAUCCAUUGUAGGAUUACUCUAUGCUUAGGUAUAACAGCUUGGUUCCAAAUGAAUCUCGCCCAAUAAACAGGAGGUCUUGCCCUCCUAAUAUUUUCCCAUACUGCCUUAGUAGAAAACUUAGAGCAAAUACGGCCAAGAGGUUAUUCUAUGCUUAGGUAUAACAGCUUGGUUCCAAAUGAAUCUCGCCCAAUAAACAGGAGGUCUUGCCCUCCUAAUAUUUUCCCAUACUGCCUUAGUAGAAAACUUAGAGCAAAUACGGUUCCCAACCUUCCAAAUAGUCAUGUCUGAACCAGAAACAGGGGAAAAAAGAUGAUAGGUAAACUUGAAGAUUCACUUGUCUUUCAGAUCUGGCCGGUCUUAGGAUCCAAGAAGAACCUUGAGUUAUCUUAUACUCAUCUUAUACUCAUAUGCUCAUCUUAUACUAGACGUUGUUAAUUCUAAUUUUCCAGUUGGAUCUUUACCUUUUAAUUGAUUUUAUAUAAUUGAAGGAUUUACAGAAGAAGAAAUGACAACAAACAAGUUUUCAUCUCUUUUGUUAUUUUCAUUGAUGGUAUCUACGCUUAUCCUUUUACCAAUGGCUUCAGGUAAUUUUCUUUUUUCAAAUUUAAAUUUUCUUAAAUAAAUAAACUGUGUACUAGAGUAGCUAUUGUUGGAGAAAAAACUGUUUAGUAGUAGUGUUCUACAUAAGAAAUUAAUUGAUCAUUUCAAUUUUUUGCUUUUCCAAUUAGGAAAAAUCCGUGUAUGUCCGGAAAGAAGACCACCUUGUAAGGCCAGCAAAGCAUGUAUACAAAACUGUAAAAAUUUUGGGUACAGAACAGGAGGCUGUGAAGAAAUAUAUGCCGAUGUAUAUUGUUGUUGUGUAGACAAAUUGAAAUCUCAGGAUAAUCCUCAUUCACCCAGUGCAUUCUCAACUAAUUAACCUCUCAUUUAUACACAUUUAUAUGACUAAAAAUAUUUUUAUAUGAAUAAAAAUAUAUUUAUAUGUGAUUGAUCUACAUUAUUAUUACAUAUGCCAUGGCUACAUUGUAAAACUAGUUCUAUCAAGUCUCCAACACACACACGUAUAUGACCAAAGAUCCCAAGUUCUAGUUUCUGGAUUAAACAAUAUUUUAACUUAAAAAAGACUAACAUCCACCCAUGUUAUGAAAAUAAAAUAUGACGUCAAAAAUCAGUUCCCAUGAUUAUCGGCCCAGGCCUACCAUAAUCUAAAUCAUUAUGAUUGUAUUCUUUGGGCCUUAAAGGAUUAGCUAACCCAAUCAACUAGAAACACAAUUUGUAUUCACGAUAUUUUAUGAUUCCCACAUCCUACCUCAGUCAAUCAGUAGGCGAAAUGGGUAUACAGUGGCUACAAAUGCUUUCUAAGCUUUUCUGACUUUGGCUUCUGAUUUCGAUUCCAGAGCAAAAGUCGAGCCUCCACUAAACUUCACAGCUAUAUGGACAGAAUCAGUGGACUAUCCGAUGAGUUACUGGUCAGGAUACUAACGUUCGUUCCGACAAAAGUUUCUGUAUCCACCAGCAUUUUGUCUAAACGAUGGGAGUUUCUUUGGACGUGGGUGCCUAAACUCGAGUUCGUGGAUAACAAGUAUGUAUCAGACCUUGCUAGGAUGUUCCUCGCACGGUUUCUCUCCCUAAAUUGAAAACUCUGCAUC
Molecule: long non-coding RNA, 6614 nt
Organism: Brassica rapa (field mustard)
Lineage: Eukaryota; Viridiplantae; Streptophyta; Magnoliopsida; Brassicales; Brassicaceae
Source: RefSeq, a predicted model, not a curated record